GUACGGAGGGGGUUAGCGUUGUUCGGAAUUACGGGGCGUAAAGCGCACGUAGGCGGACUGGAAAGUUGGGGGUGAAAUCCCGGGGCUCAACCCCGGAACUGCCUCCAAAACUUCCAAUCUAGAGAUCGAGAGAGGUGAGUGGAAUUCCAAGUGUAGAGGUGAAAUUCGUAGAUAUUUGGAGGAACACCAGUGGCGAAGGCGGCUCACUGGCUCGAUACUGACGCUGAGGUGCGAAAGCGUGGGGAGCAAACAGGAUUAGAAACCCCGGUAGUCC
Molecule: ribosomal RNA, 274 nt
Filed under: uncultured bacterium
Lineage: Bacteria
Description: partial 16S ribosomal RNA
Rfam family: Bacterial small subunit ribosomal RNA
Source: RNAcentral